This 468-nucleotide ribosomal RNA is filed under the name uncultured bacterium. Its description in RNAcentral is "partial 16S ribosomal RNA". It matches the Rfam family "Bacterial small subunit ribosomal RNA", at positions 28 to 507 of the family's 1533-position model. The record is from RNAcentral.
GACGAACGCUGGCGGCGUGCUUAACACAUGCAAGUCGAACGGAAAGGCCCUGCUUUUUUGGGGUGCUCGAGUGGCGAACGGGUGCGUAACACGUGAGUAACCUGCCCUUGACUUUGGGAUAACUUCAGGAAACUAGGGCUAAUACCGGAUAGGAUCUGCUGCUGCAUGGUGGGGGUUGGAAAGUUUCGGCGGUUGGGGAUGGACUCGCGGCUUAUCAGCUUGUUGGUGGGGUAGUGGCUUACCAAGCGUUUGACGGGUAGCCGGCCGGAGAGGGUGACCGGCGACAUUGGGACUGCGAUACGGACCAGACUGCUAUGGGAGGCAGCAGUGGGGAAUAUUGCCCAAUGGGCGGAAGCCUGAGGCAGCAACGCCGCGUGCGGGAUGACGGCCUUCGGGUUGUAAACCGCUUUCGCCUGUGACGAAGCGUGAGUGACGGUAAUGGGUAAAGAAGCACCGGCUAACUACGUG